UACGUAGGGGGCAAGCGUUGUCCGGAAUCAUUGGGCGUAAAGCGUGUAGGCGGUCCGGUAAGUCGGCUGUGAAAGUCCAGGGCUCAACCCUGGGAUGCCGGUCGAUACUGCCGGACUAGAGUUCGGAAGAGGCGAGUGGAAUUCCCGGUGUAGCGGUGAAAUGCGCAGAUAUCGGGAGGAACACCAAUGGCGAAGGCAGCUCGCUGGGACGUUACUGACGCUGAGACGCGAAAGCGUGGGGAGCAAACAGG
Molecule: ribosomal RNA, 251 nt
Filed under: uncultured bacterium
Lineage: Bacteria
Description: partial 16S ribosomal RNA
Rfam family: Bacterial small subunit ribosomal RNA
Source: RNAcentral